Molecule: ribosomal RNA, 460 nt
Filed under: uncultured bacterium
Lineage: Bacteria
Description: partial 16S ribosomal RNA
Rfam family: Bacterial small subunit ribosomal RNA
Source: RNAcentral
CCUACGGGUGGCUGCAGUGAGGAAUAUUGGUCAAUGGACGAGAGUCUGAACCAGCCAAGUAGCGUGAAGGAUGACUGCCCUAUGGGUUGUAAACUUCUUUUAUAUGGGAAUAAAAUGUUCCACGUGUGGGAUUUUGUAUGUACCAUAUGAAUAAGGAUCGGCUAACUCCGUGCCAGCAGCCGCGGUAAUACGGAGGAUCCGAGUGUUAUCCGGAUUUAUUGGGUUUAAAGGGAGCGUAGGUGGAUUGUUAAGUCAGUUGUGAAAGUUUGCGGCUCAACCGUAAAAUUGCAGUUGAAACCGGCAGUCUUGAGUACAGUAGAGGUGGGCGGAAUUCGUGGUGUAGCGGUGAAAUGCUUAGAUAUCACGAAGAACUCCGAUUGCGAAGGCAGUUCACUGGACUGCAACUGACACUGAGGCUCGAAAGUGUGGGUAUCAAACAGGAUUAGAUACCCUUGUAGUC